UCCCUGGUGGCUCAGAGGGUAAAGCGUCUGCCUGCAAUGCAGGAGACCUGGGUUCGAUCCCUGGGUCCGGAA
Ovis aries (sheep) is the source of this 72-nucleotide transfer RNA. It matches the Rfam family "tRNA". Rfam says of the family: Transfer RNA (tRNA) molecules are approximately 80 nucleotides in length. Their secondary structure includes four short double-helical elements and three loops (D, anti-codon, and T loops). The record is from Rfam. NCBI's taxonomy places the organism in Eukaryota, Metazoa, Chordata, Mammalia, Artiodactyla, Bovidae.